UACAGAGGUCUCAAGCGUUGUUCGGAUUCAUUGGGCGUAAAGGGUGCGUAGGUGGCGCCGUAAGUCGGGUGUGAAAUUUCGGAGCUUAACUCCGAAACUGCAUUCGAUACUGCGGUGCUUGAGGACUGGAGAGGAGACUGGAAUUCAUGGUGUAGCAGUGAAAUGCGUAGAUAUCGAGAGGAACACCAGUGGCGAAGGCGAGUCCCUGGACAACACCUGACACUGAGGCACGAAAGCUAGGGGAGCAAACGGG
This 253-nucleotide ribosomal RNA is filed under the name uncultured bacterium. RNAcentral's name for it is "partial 16S ribosomal RNA". It matches the Rfam family "Bacterial small subunit ribosomal RNA", at positions 524 to 776 of the family's 1533-position model. The record is from RNAcentral.